Molecule: long non-coding RNA, 408 nt
Filed under: Canis lupus familiaris (dog)
Lineage: Eukaryota; Metazoa; Chordata; Mammalia; Carnivora; Canidae
Description: lncRNA (ENSCAFG00030022313.1)
Source: RNAcentral
AUGGCUCCAACAACACAUCAAUCUUUGUGUGUCCUUCUGGCAGAUACCUGGAUUGAAUUCACAGCACUGGUGCCACCUAACCUGGCGAAGUCCACUAGCCUGCCCCUGGUCCUGGGCCCACCAUCCACCAUCCAGUCACGUGAUCACACACCGAGCAUCUUAGACUGCCCGGAGUUCCAUGAAUUUUAAUCUGCUGCAGCUGUCACUUGCAGUCGCGCCAUUUUAAACAGACUGUUUCAUCUGUGACUCCACAUUUUCACCAUCGCCAGCAAGAAGCUCUGAGCAGCCUGUGGUCAUCAUGGAUGGUAACAGUCACACAUAUCAGAGUUUGAAAGGAUGAAGCGUCUUUAAAGUGAAGGUCUGACUUGUCCGUCCUUGGAUAGAAGUAAUGCAAGCGUUCAUCUCUGG